RNAcentral lists this RNase P RNA (360 nucleotides) under Lachnospiraceae bacterium. Its description in RNAcentral is "RNase P RNA component class A". It matches the Rfam family "Bacterial RNase P class A". From Rfam's summary of the family: Ribonuclease P (RNase P) is a ubiquitous endoribonuclease, found in archaea, bacteria and eukarya as well as chloroplasts and mitochondria. Its best characterised activity is the generation of mature 5'-ends of tRNAs by cleaving the 5'-leader elements of precursor-tRNAs. Lineage: Bacteria; Bacillati; Bacillota; Clostridia; Lachnospirales; Lachnospiraceae. The record is from RNAcentral.
CCACUGUAGUAAAUGAUCGCGGCUUUCGCACAGUGCGAAAGGUGAGGAAAGUCCGGGCUCCAUAGGGCAGGAUGCCGGAUAACGUCCGGUAGAGGCGACUCUAAGGAAAGUGCAACAGAAAGAUACCGCCAACAUUUUGUUGGUAAGGGUGGAAUGGCAGUGUAAGAGACUACCGCCUCCACGGUAACGGGGAGGGCACAUGUAAACCCCAUCCGGAGCAAGACCAAACAGAAAGCGACAGGUUUGCCCGACCUGCUUUCAGGUAGGUCGCUUGAGGCUGUUGGCAACAACAGUCCUAGAUAGAUGAUCAUUCUUCGUGUAUAACGAUGACAUAACCCGGCUUAUCGCUGCGGUGGCAGU